UGCCGAAAACCCAGGAUCGAACCAGGGACCUUUAGAUAUGCAGUCUAACGCUCUCCUAAAUGAGCUAUUUCGGC
Molecule: transfer RNA, 74 nt
Filed under: Cordylochernes scorpioides
Lineage: Eukaryota; Metazoa; Arthropoda; Arachnida; Pseudoscorpiones; Chernetidae
Description: tRNA-Cys
Source: RNAcentral